UGGGGAAUAUUGGGCAAUGGGGGGAACCCUGACCCAGCAACGCCGCGUGGAGGAAGAAGGUUUUCGGAUCGUAAACUCCUGUCCUUGGAGACGAGUAGAAGACGGUAUCCAAGGAGGAAGCCCCGGCUAACUACGUGCCAGCAGCCGCGGUAAUACGUAGGGGGCAAGCGUUGUCCGGAAUAAUUGGGCGUAAAGGGCGCGUAGGCGGCUCGGUAAGUCUGGAGUGAAAGUCCUGCUUUUAAGGUGGGAAUUGCUUUGGAUACUGUCGGGCUUGAGUGCAGGAGAGGUUAGUGGAAUUCCCAGUGUAGCGGUGAAAUGCGUAGAGAUUGGGAGGAACACCAGUGGCGAAGGCGACUAACUGGACUGUAACUGACGCUGAGGCGCGAAAGUGUGGGGAGCAAACAGGAUUAGAUACCCUGGUAGUCCACACUGUAAACGAUGAAUGCUAGGUGUAGGGGGUAUCGACCCCUUCUGUGCCGCAGUCAACACAAUAAGCAUUCCGCCUGGGGAGUACGGCCGCAAGGUUGAAACUCAAAGGAAUUGACGGGGGCCCGCACAAGCAGCGGAGCAUGUGGUUUAAUUCGACGCAACGCGAAGAACCUUACCAGGUCUUGACAUCCACUUAAACUUACAGAGAUGUAAGGUGUGCUUGCACAAAGUGAGACAGGUGGUGCAUGGUUGUCGUCAGCUCGUGUCGUGAGAUGUUGGGUUAAGUCCCGCAACGAGCGCAACCCUUAUCUUCAGUUACUAACGCGUGAAGGUGAGGACUCUGAAGAGACUGCCGGGGACAACUCGGAGGAAGGUGGGGACGACGUCAAAUCAUCAUGCCCCUUAUGACCUGGGCUACACACGUGCUACAAUGGCCACGACAGAGAGAAGCGAAAUCGUAAGGUAGAGCGGAACUCAAAAAAGUGGUCCCAGUUCGGAUUGUGGGCUGCAACCCGCCCACAUGAAGUCGGAGUUGCUAGUAAUCGCGGAUCAGCAUGCCGCGGUGAAUACGUUCCC
RNAcentral lists this ribosomal RNA (1005 nucleotides) under uncultured bacterium. RNAcentral describes it as "bacterial SSU rRNA". It matches the Rfam family "Bacterial small subunit ribosomal RNA", at positions 355 to 1375 of the family's 1533-position model. The record is from RNAcentral.